This 405-nucleotide ribosomal RNA is filed under the name uncultured bacterium. RNAcentral's name for it is "bacterial SSU rRNA". It matches the Rfam family "Bacterial small subunit ribosomal RNA", at positions 357 to 776 of the family's 1533-position model. The record is from RNAcentral.
GGGAAUAUUGCACAAUGGGCGAAAGCCUGAUGCAGCAACGCCGCGUGAAGGAAGAAGGGUUUCGGCUCGUAAACUUCUAUCAACAGGGACGAAAGAAAUGACGGUACCUGAAUAAGAAGCCCCGGCUAACUACGUGCCAGCAGCCGCGGUAAUACGUAGGGGGCAAGCGUUAUCCGGAAUUAAUGGGUGUAAAGGGUGAGUAGGCGGCAUGGUAAGCCAGAUGUGAAAGCCUUGGGCUUAACCCGAGGAUUGCAUUUGGAACUAUCAAGCUAGAGUACAGGAGAGGAAAGCGGAAUUCCUAGUGUAGCGGUGAAAUGCGUAGAUAUUAGGAAGAACACCAGUGGCGAAGGCGGCUUUCUGGACUGAAACUGACGCUGAGGCACGAAAGCGUGGGGAGCGAACAGG